GGGCUCGUGGCGCAGACAGGUAGCGCAAUAGGCUUUUAACCUAGGGGUCGCGGGUUCAAAUCCCGCCGAGCCCGCCA
Molecule: transfer RNA, 77 nt
Filed under: Promethearchaeota archaeon
Lineage: Archaea; Promethearchaeati; Promethearchaeota
Also listed under: 3 other names
Description: Candidatus Lokiarchaeota archaeon (microbial mat metagenome) tRNA-Lys
Rfam family: tRNA
About the family: Transfer RNA (tRNA) molecules are approximately 80 nucleotides in length. Their secondary structure includes four short double-helical elements and three loops (D, anti-codon, and T loops).
Source: RNAcentral